RNAcentral lists this ribosomal RNA (468 nucleotides) under uncultured bacterium. Its description in RNAcentral is "partial 16S ribosomal RNA". It matches the Rfam family "Bacterial small subunit ribosomal RNA", at positions 28 to 507 of the family's 1533-position model. The record is from RNAcentral.
GACGAACGCUGGCGGCGUGCUUAACACAUGCCAGUCGAACGGAAAGGCCCUGCUUUUGUGGGGUGCUCGAGUGGCGAACGGGUGAGUAACACGUGAGUAACCUGCCCUUGACUUUGGGAUAACUUCAGGAAACUGGGGCUAAUACCGGAUAGGAGCUCCUGCUGCAUGGUGGGGGUUGGAAAGUUUCGGCGGUUGGGGAUGGACUCGCGGCUUAUCAGCUUGUUGGUGGGGUAGUGGCUUACCAAGGCUUUGACGGGUAGCCGGCCUGAGAGGGUGACCGGCCACAUUGGGACUGAGAUACGGCCCAGACUCCUACGGGAGGCAGCAGUGGGGAAUAUUGCACAAUGGGCGGAAGCCUGAUGCAGCAACGCCGCGUGCGGGAUGACGGCCUUCGGGUUGUAGACCGCUUUCGCCUGUGGCGAAGCGUGAGUGACGGUAAUGGGUAAAGAAGCACCGGCUAACUACGUG